This 1383-nucleotide long non-coding RNA is filed under the name Numida meleagris (helmeted guineafowl). RNAcentral's name for it is "lncRNA (ENSNMEG00000003867.1)". Lineage: Eukaryota; Metazoa; Chordata; Aves; Galliformes; Numididae. The record is from RNAcentral.
GGGUGUCACUUAUGGGGCAGCGCGGUCACUUAUGGGUCUCUGGGCGUCACUUAUGGGGCUGUGGGUGUCACUUAUGGGUCUCGUGGCGUCACUUGUGGGGCAGGCUCGAAUUACUACGUGCGCAUCCUGAGCAUCACUUAUGGGGCAGCGCUGUCACUUAUGGGUCUCGGGGCGUCACUUAUGGGGCAGCGCGGUCACUUAUGGGUCUCUGGGCGUCACUUAUGGGGCAGUGCUGUCACUUAUGGGUCUCGUGGCGUCACUUGUGGGGCAGGCUUGAAUUACUACGUGCGCAUCCUGAGCANCCAGCCCCACGGCUGACCCCCGUAGCCGCCCCACAGAAGCUGCAGCAGGAGCUGGAGUUCCUGGAGGUGCAGGAGAACUGACCCCCCCCCAUAACCACCCCUAGCCCCAUAGCUGCCCCAUAGCUGCUCCAUAGCCACCCUCAGCCCCAUAGCCGCCCCAUAGCUGCCCCACAUCCACCUCCAGCCCCAUGGCUGACCCCCGUAGCCGCCCCACAGAAGCUGCAGCAGGAGCUGGAGUUCCUGGAGGUGCAGGAGAACUGACCCCCCCCCCAUAUCCACCCCUAGCCCACCCCAUAUCCACUCCCAGCCCCAUAGCUGCCCCGUAGUCGCCCCAUAGCUGACCCAUACCCGCUCCCCAGCCGCAUAGCCGCCCCAUAGCUGCCCCAUAGUCAGCCCCAGCCCCACGGCUGACCCACAGCAGCUGCAGGAGGAGCUGCAGGUGCAGGAGGACUGAUCCCCCCUAUAGCCACCCCCAGCCCCAUAGCCGCCCCAUAGGUGCCCCAUAGCCGCCCCACAACCACCCCCAGCCCCACGGCUGACCCCCACAGCCGCCCCACAGAAGCUGCAGCAGGAGCUGGAGUUCCUGGAGGUGCAGGAGAACUGACCCCCCCCAUAGCCACUUCUAGGCCACCCCAUAUCCACUCCCAGCCCCAUAGCCGCCCCAUAGCCUCCCCAUAGCCACCCCCAGCCCCACGGCUGACCCCCGUAGCCGCCCCACAGAAGCUGCAGCAGGAGCUGGAGUUCCUGGGAGUGCAGGAGGACACACCCCCCCCAUAACUACCCCCAACCUACCCCAUAGCCACCCCCAGCCCCAUGGCUGCCCCGUAGCUGCCUCAUAGCUGCCCCAUACCUGCUCCCCAGCCCCAUAGCUGCCCCAUAGCUGCCCCAUACCUGCUCCCCAGCCCCAUAGCUGCCCCAUAACCACCCCCAGCCCCACUGCUGAUCCACAGAAGCUGCAGCAGGAGCUGGAGUUCCUGGAGGUGCAGGAGGACACAUGCCCCCCUUAACAACCCCCAACCUGCCCCAGAGCCACCCCCAGCCCCAUAGCCGCCCCACAUCCACCCCCAGCCCCACGGCUGAC